Long non-coding RNA from Oncorhynchus keta (chum salmon), 278 nucleotides. RefSeq lists it as uncharacterized. NCBI's taxonomy places the organism in Eukaryota, Metazoa, Chordata, Actinopteri, Salmoniformes, Salmonidae. The record is from RefSeq and is a predicted model, not a curated record. The transcript is spliced from 3 exons.
UCUCCUACCUCAGGGUCAGGUGUAACCCGCGUCUCUCUCCUACCUCAGGGUCAGGUGUAACCCGCGUCUCUCUCCUACCUCAGGGUCAGGUGUAACCCGCGUCUCUCUCCUACCUCAGGGUCAGGUGUAACCCGCGUCUCUCUCCUACCUCAGGGUCAGGUGUAACCCGCGUCUCUCUCCUACCUCAGGGUCAGGUGUAACCCGCGUCUCUCUCCUACCUCAGGGUCAGGUGUAACCCGCGUCUCUCUCCUACCUCAGGGUCAGGUGUAACCCGCAGA